GAUGAACGCUGGCGGCGUGCCUAAUACAUGCAAGUAGAACGCUGAAGGAGGAGCUUGCUCUUCUGGAUGAGUUGCGAACGGGUGAGUAACGCGUAGGUAACCUGCCUGGUAGCGGGGGAUAACUAUUGGAAACGAUAGCUAAUACCGCAUGACAACAGUUAUUGCAUGAUAACUGUUUAAAAGGGGCAACUGCUCCACUACCAGAUGGACCUUCGUUGUAUUAGCUAGUUGGUGAGGUAACGGCUCACCAAGGCGACGAUACAUAGCCGAACUGAGAGGGUGAUCGGCCAAACUGGGACUGAGACAAGGCCCAGACUCCUACGGGAGGCAGCAGUAGGGAAUCUUCGGCAAUGGACGGAAGUCUGACCGAGCAACGCCGCGUGAGUGAAGAAGGUUUUCGGAUCGUAAAGCUCUGUUGUAAGAGAAGAACGAGUGUGAGAGUGGAAAGUUCACACUGUGACGGUAUCUUACCAGAAAGGGACGGCUAACUACGUG
RNAcentral lists this ribosomal RNA (495 nucleotides) under uncultured bacterium. RNAcentral describes it as "partial 16S ribosomal RNA". It matches the Rfam family "Bacterial small subunit ribosomal RNA", at positions 28 to 507 of the family's 1533-position model. The record is from RNAcentral.